GUUUGCACUCAUCGGGGAAGGGUGAGAACCUUCGACUAAGGUUCGAUUCGAGCGAAAGCGAGAGAACGUUGCCACAGGCAACGGCCCGAAGGGUGAGGAGCGAGGCGACGAAAAAUCCUUCCCCCACCACCA
RNAcentral lists this small RNA (132 nucleotides) under Escherichia coli. RNAcentral's name for it is "RtT sRNA". It matches the Rfam family "RtT RNA". From Rfam's summary of the family: This family represents a bacterial cis-regulatory element known as RtT RNA. The exact function of RtT is unknown although it is thought that it may be involved in changing the cellular response in relation to amino acid starvation. Lineage: Bacteria; Pseudomonadati; Pseudomonadota; Gammaproteobacteria; Enterobacterales; Enterobacteriaceae. The record is from RNAcentral.